RNAcentral lists this long non-coding RNA (1124 nucleotides) under Olea europaea subsp. europaea. The record is from RNAcentral. Lineage: Eukaryota; Viridiplantae; Streptophyta; Magnoliopsida; Lamiales; Oleaceae.
CUCACUUACCACAUAGUGGUCAUAUAAAUUGGACAGAUGGUCAUUUUGCCCUCAGAGGGCCAUCAUCAGAGUCCCGUUGAACUUCUCAAUUUUAACGUUUGGAAGUUCAAAGCUACUAAUGAUGCUCCUCUGACGACGAAAUGGCCAUCUUGCCAAUUUAAAUGACCAUUAUUUUAAACACAAUGUUAAAGAACUUACAUUUUUUUGCUAUUGACACAGUAGAAUAGUAUGUUCUUCUAAACUAAAUAACGUGUGUCCACCUUACAGGAGUGACAAAGGUUCAUGAGCAGUUCAAGAGAUCGAAACAAAACGCCUUUGUUACUACUGUAAGGCCGCCAUACGUUCUUCAGUUUAAGAGAACGCCAUAAUAUUUCCACAGUGCCAUUAGCAAAAAACACAAAGUUCUUUCAUAUUAUCUUACUUACGAAAUUGUGGUCUAGAUAUGUUGGGCACUAACACACCGUAUGUAUAUAUCUAGACAACUCGGUAAGUGAGGGCUCCAACUUAUCUUUUAUAGUACAAAAAUACAAGAUGCGACAUUGGACAAUCUUUCAGACUACAACAGAUUUUGUAACAGGGGGCUUAACGAUACGAGUUUUGCCCAAAUAGAACUACGACCUUGUCAACUUAAUGACACUUCUCACAGAACAUUUCAGGUGACCCAUUAGCUAUUGACAAAGUACGAAACCAGCCUUAUGCACGUUUCGGCCUCACAAGAUAUCAUCAGUUAGGCAUAUAGUUGUUGUAGACUGCUCCACAAAUUCUUCCCCGAUAAUAAAACACAGGAACCGAAAGCUGAUCGCAAUGACAGAUAUCCAGUCCUGAAUGUGUUUCAAUGCCGGAUACUAGCAGAAAUAGCUAGAACAGACUGACCACCUGCUACACGAGUCAAUGUGUAAGGACGAAUUCGGGUGCAGAUUUGUUUUGUUGCUAGGGAUGAUGGUCUUUGGACGGGAUACCUUUGGGUGAUCCCGGGUUGUCCCAGGACAUCAGUCAGGCAUAGUCAUAAUGAACGAUAUAGGUAGACUCGGUCGGAUGACCCGAAAAGUUCUGUGAGAACUGGCAUUAAUUUGAAUAACUGACCACCUCCAAAGAUCAGUAUCUGUAUGUAGGUGUAAUGAAAC